GCCGCCGCGGUAACACCGGCAGCUCGAGUGGUAGCUGUUUUUAUUGGGCCUAAAGCGUUCGUAGCCGGUUUGAUAAGUCUUUGGUGAAAGCUUGUAGCUUAACUAUAAGAAUUGCUGGAGAUACUAUUAGACUUGAAGUCGGGAGAGGUUAGAGGUACUACCGGGGUAGGGGUGAAAUCCUAUAAUCCUGGGAGGACCACCUGUGGCGAAGGCGUCUAACUGGAACGAUCUUGACGGUGAGUAACGAAAGCCAGGGGCGCGAACCGGAUUAGAUACCCC
This 279-nucleotide ribosomal RNA is filed under the name uncultured Oscillospiraceae bacterium. RNAcentral describes it as "partial 16S ribosomal RNA". It matches the Rfam family "Archaeal small subunit ribosomal RNA", at positions 461 to 739 of the family's 1478-position model. Lineage: Bacteria; Bacillati; Bacillota; Clostridia; Eubacteriales; Oscillospiraceae. The record is from RNAcentral.